This 244-nucleotide long non-coding RNA is filed under the name Gossypium barbadense (sea-island cotton). RNAcentral describes it as "long non-coding RNA (GBAR_LNC021785)". Lineage: Eukaryota; Viridiplantae; Streptophyta; Magnoliopsida; Malvales; Malvaceae. The record is from RNAcentral.
UAGAUGACUUUUUCAAAAUAGUUUUGUCUGGGCGUGAUGCUUUGCUUUGUAAUCUAAGAGCAGGUUGUGCUUCCCCAAAUUCAGUUCUGGGAAGAAACACCGACAAGCAAAGUGUGAGGUGAAUCAUGAAUGAAGUAGAGCUAAACUCUUCUGUAUACAGAUGGUUUAGGUAUGAGACCUUCUGUUUUCUAACUAAUAGGGAUAUGCAACCUUGUUUGGGUAAUGAAAGUAUUUAUUGUGUGAG